CUUUAACUGCAGCAGUGAGUGGAUUUAUCGUCCUCCUCCUCUCUGUGCCAGUGGUUCAGGGUCAGGACAGCUGGAGAGUGACUUACUCUUCUCUUCAGAUCUGUGCUUAUAAAGGAUCAACUGUGGAGAUGAACUGCACCUUCACAUACCCAGAGAGGAUAAAUAGACAAGUUAACUCACUUCAGAAAACAUUCUGGUUGAGAAAAGAUGGUUUUCAUUACAAAGAUGUAGAAACAGUUUCAGAGUAUUCAGGUCGUGUGAAGAAUAUCUGUGAUGAGAACAAAUGCACUCUGAGAAUCACAAACCUGAGAGAGACAGACUCGACUGUGUACAGGUUUAGAUUCAUAAUAAACAAAGACAGUUAUUAUGGUCACCCUGGGGUCACUCUGUCAGUCACAGAUUUCCAGGUGAAGGUGAGCAGACCAUAUAAGGCUCUGCUCUUUCAGUGUCUCAGUGGACUUUCCAGUCAAACCUCCUACAUCUGGUUCAGGAACGGACAGAAAUUCAAACAUAGCACUUCAUCUUAUUAUUCACCAGAGCAGCUUCUUCAGACAGACAGUUACUCCUGUGCUCUAUCAGGACAUGAGAAGUGCCCGUCUCCUCCAGUGUAUGCUCCAAAGCUUCCCU
Molecule: non-coding RNA, 627 nt
Organism: Labrus bergylta (ballan wrasse)
Lineage: Eukaryota; Metazoa; Chordata; Actinopteri; Labriformes; Labridae
Source: RefSeq, a predicted model, not a curated record